UGUUAAGUCAGACGGGGUUUUAAAAAAAAUGAAGCGGGGAAGGAAGCUGUGGGACAACCUUCAAAAGUAAAAGCCCUCGGAAGAUAGAUUAUUCUCAUGGCAGACUUCUCCCGGGUCACCAGCUCUCUCUGGGAAAGCAGCUCCAGAAACCCAUUGCAACGAGCUUCGAAGGACAUCUCCUGCGGAGAUCUGCUUUCUGGAAUUUGUAAAAGAAAAAAAAAACAUUAUAGAAUUAUAAAAUGACAUGAUGAGC
Molecule: long non-coding RNA, 253 nt
Organism: Maylandia zebra (zebra mbuna)
Lineage: Eukaryota; Metazoa; Chordata; Actinopteri; Cichliformes; Cichlidae
Source: RefSeq, a predicted model, not a curated record